AACUAUGGUCAUGCUACCCUGAACAAGCCCGAUCUCAUCUGAUCUUGUAAGCUAAGCAGGGUCGGGCCUGGUUAGUACUUGGAUGGGAGACCACCUAGGAAGACCAGGUGCAGUGGGCA
This 119-nucleotide ribosomal RNA is filed under the name Pteropus alecto (black flying fox). The record is from RNAcentral. Lineage: Eukaryota; Metazoa; Chordata; Mammalia; Chiroptera; Pteropodidae.